AGUGAACGCUGGCGGUAGGCCUAACACAUGCAAGUCGAACGGUAGCACAGUAAGAGCUUGCUCUUACGGGUGGCGAGUGGCGGACGGGUGAGGAACACAUCGGAAUCUACUUUUUCGUGGGGGAUAACGUAGGGAAACUUACGCUAAUACCGCAUACGACCUACGGGUGAAAGCAGGGGAUCUUCGGACUUUGGGCGCUUGAAUGAGCUGAUGUCGGAUUAGCUAGUUGGCGGGGUAAAGGCCCACCAAGGCGACGAUCCGUAGCUGGUCUGAGAGGAUGAUCAGCCACACUGGAACUGAGACACGGUCCAGACUCCUACGGGAGGCAGCAGUGGGGAAUAUUGGACAAUGGGCGCAAGCCUGAUCCAGCCAUGCCGCGUGCGUGAAGAAGGCCUUCGGGUUGUAAAGCCCUUUUGUUGGGAAAGAAAAGCAGCAGGUUAAUACCCCGCUGUUCUGACGGUACCGUAAGAAUAAGCACCGGCUAACUUCGUG
RNAcentral lists this ribosomal RNA (492 nucleotides) under uncultured bacterium. RNAcentral describes it as "partial 16S ribosomal RNA". It matches the Rfam family "Bacterial small subunit ribosomal RNA", at positions 29 to 507 of the family's 1533-position model. The record is from RNAcentral.